RNAcentral lists this long non-coding RNA (451 nucleotides) under Durio zibethinus. RNAcentral's name for it is "long non-coding RNA (DZIB_LNC001086)". The record is from RNAcentral. Lineage: Eukaryota; Viridiplantae; Streptophyta; Magnoliopsida; Malvales; Malvaceae.
CACAAAACAAAGAACAUAAGAUUACUUUGUUUAACCCUUUCAAUAUCCUCCAUUCAUGGCCAAGAAACUCAAAGUAACCCUCCCUUUCAUUCUCCUAAUAGUUUUCUUGAUCUUCACGUUACUGAUUUCCGCCCUAGAAGCCCGUAAGUUUGCUCCGAAUCAUCUCCGCCAUGCCAUUAUGAAACCCGGCGGCCCUAAACAACUAGGGCAAGGACUUCAACUCAAUGAAGUUUUCGAAGUUCUCGAUCUUUUCGGAAUCAAGGAUUCCUCCGGACCAAGUGAUCAUGGAGACGGGCAUUGAUCUUGAUAUAGUGUCUAUGGUGUGUUAAAGUUUAAUACUAUGGGUUGCAGUGUGUAAUGGUUAAAAAUAAAUUCCUUGACUUGGCCAUUGUAGUUGUACAAGGCCACAGUGAUCAUAGAGGAAAUAUCAAAGGCAUGUGAAACAUACAAG